RNAcentral lists this ribosomal RNA (270 nucleotides) under uncultured archaeon. RNAcentral describes it as "partial 16S ribosomal RNA". It matches the Rfam family "Archaeal small subunit ribosomal RNA", at positions 477 to 747 of the family's 1478-position model. The record is from RNAcentral.
CAGCACCUCAAGUGGUCAGGAUGAUUAUUGGGCCUAAAGCAUCCGUAGCCGGCUCUGUAAGUUUUCGGUUAAAUCUGUACGCUCAACGUACAGGCUGCCGGGAAUACUGCAGAGCUAGGGAGUGGGAGAGGUAGACGGUACUCGGUAGGAAGGGGUAAAAUCCUUUGAUCUAUUGAUGACCACCUGUGGCGAAGGCGGUCUACCAGAACACGUCCGACGGUGAGGGAUGAAAGCUGGGGGAGCAAACCGGAUUAGAUACCCGUGUAGUCC